CUCGGCGUGCUAUCUGCAGUCGAGCGACUGAUUAGAAGCUUGCUUCUAUGACGUUAGCGGCGGACGGGUGAGUAACACGUGGGCAACCUGCCUGUAAGACUGGGAUAACUCCGGGAAACCGGAGCUAAUACCGGAUAACAUUUUCUCUUGCAUAAGAGAAAAUUGAAAGAUGGUUUCGGCUAUCACUUACAGAUGGGCCCGCGGUGCAUUAGCUAGUUGGUGAGGUAACGGCUCACCAAGGCAACGAUGCAUAGCCGACCUGAGAGGGUGAUCGGCCACACUGGGACUGAGACACGGCCCAGACUCCUACGGGAGGCAGCAGUAGGGAAUCUUCCGCAAUGGACGAAAGUCUGACGGAGCAACGCCGCGUGAGUGAUGAAGGCUUUCGGGUCGUAAAACUCUGUUGUUAGGGAAGAACAAGUACAAGAGUAACUGCUUGUACCUUGACGGUACCUAACCAGAAAGCCACGGCUAACUACGUGCCAGCAGCCGCGGUAAUACGUAGGUGGCAAGCGUUAUCCGGAAUUAUUGGGCGUAAAGCGCGCGCAGGCGGUUUCUUAAGUCUGAUGUGAAAGCCCACGGCUCAACCGUGGAGGGUCAUUGGAAACUGGGGAACUUGAGUGCAGAAGAGAAAAGCGGAAUUCCACGUGUAGCGGUGAAAUGCGUAGAGAAAUGU
RNAcentral lists this ribosomal RNA (676 nucleotides) under Bacillus sp. El-Abd. RNAcentral describes it as "bacterial SSU rRNA". It matches the Rfam family "Bacterial small subunit ribosomal RNA", at positions 38 to 699 of the family's 1533-position model. The record is from RNAcentral. Lineage: Bacteria; Bacillati; Bacillota; Bacilli; Caryophanales; Bacillaceae.